CUGAUUGUAAGCGUUGGGAUCAUAUCUGGGUAGUGCAUUUUCACCUGCAACCUCAAUAUUUUCUCUCCAGCUUCCACUUAAGACCUGGAAAUAUUUUCAGUGAUUAAACAUGCAACAUGCCAAUCUCAGAGCUCACCUGUUGCACAAGCUCUUGUGGAGCACUAUCAGCAUAACCAGGCUGCUCAUAGUCUCUCAUCUCAAGACAUGUAAAAUCUAAAACCCCAUAGUGUCGAGAAAGCAUCCUUGCUAUUGGUCGAUACCCAUCUCUGUCUCUCAAGUUGUAGUAUCCAGCAGUCAGCUCAGCAGCAUGACUGCUAUCCUUGUACCACCAAUGUAAUCCUGAAACCUGCUCAUUAUUGAGGGGAAGGAAAACCCACAGAACGCUUUUGUUGCUUCUUCCAGGAUCUGGUCACCAUGGAUCAGUAAUUUGUUCGAAUACCAGGUUAAGAAGAAUUUUCCAUGAUCACUGAGAAAGAGCCGCCUGCUGUUACUUCUCCACUGGAUUCAAGCAUCAGCUGUAUGGCCUCCAGUACCUUUAUGUAGUCAUCAACUGCUUUUAUGAUCUCUAAAUCAACCGCAUUAAAGCUUAUCAAUUAUCAAUCCUAGAUAGUUGAGUCCUGCCGCAAAUUGAUGUCAGCUGCAGACGAAGUGUAUAUGCCUCUGCCGCCUUUUUUCCGUUGAAGUAACAGAAACUGCUGCUAUCAGAACUUAGAAACUGUUAUUGGAUGCCUUCCCAUACACAAACAGUUAUUAUAUAAAAUAUUCCAUAGGGUUGGGUUUUAUACUAUCUCCGUUUCAUAAUGCUUGCACCAUUUCGACACACGUGUAUUAAAAUAAUUAGUUGGUAGUAAAAUGUCAUUGUUGUCCUUAAAUAAUGACAAAAAUGUAAGAGUUAAUGAGGUACAAAGUAGGCAAAAAUAAGAUAACAUUUAAGUUACUUUAUGACAUAUUUAGUAAUAAUGUGAUAAGUAUUGUAAAACAGAUGAAAAAAAAUUAUAGCAAGUAUUAUGAAACAGAGGAAGUAUUCUUCAUCUUUGAUUAAAAUAAUAGACUUAUGAAUAAAAAGGUAGGGAAGAAGGUAGUCGAUAAAUAAGCAGACUACGAUCUUGAAGAUAGUCAUCAAAUUUAAUGUGUGUCGAGUGUGUAUCGUUGUUGUUGUAUAUUGAUUUUAAGUGUAAUUUUAAGUAGAAUAUUGAGUUUUUCUUA
Long non-coding RNA from Amaranthus tricolor (Joseph's coat), 1206 nucleotides. RefSeq lists it as uncharacterized. The transcript is spliced from 5 exons. The record is from RefSeq and is a predicted model, not a curated record. NCBI's taxonomy places the organism in Eukaryota, Viridiplantae, Streptophyta, Magnoliopsida, Caryophyllales, Amaranthaceae.